CCCUUAGAUGUUCUGGGCCGCACGCGCGCUACACUGAUGCAUUCAACGAGUUUCUUCCUGGUCCGAGAGGAAUGGGUAACCUUUUGAAAGUGCAUCGUGAUAGGGAUAGACUAUUGCAAUUAUUGGUCUUCAACGAGGAAUUCCUAGUAGACGUAGUUCAUCAGACUGCAUCGAUUACGUCCCUGCCCUUUGUACACACCGCCCGUCGCACCUACCGAUUGAAUGGUCCGGUGAAAUCUCGGGACGGCGGCUUGGUCGCUUGCGUCCGACUGCUGAAACUUGAUUAAACCAUAUCAUUUAGAGGAAGGUGAANUCGUAACA
RNAcentral lists this ribosomal RNA (321 nucleotides) under uncultured eukaryote. Its description in RNAcentral is "partial 18S ribosomal RNA". It matches the Rfam family "Eukaryotic small subunit ribosomal RNA", at positions 1470 to 1796 of the family's 1831-position model. The record is from RNAcentral.